AUACGUAGGUGGCAAGCGUUGUCCGGAUUUAUUGGGCGUAAAGCGAGCGCAGGCGGUUUCUUAAGUCUGAUGUGAAAGCCCCCGGCUCAACCGGGGAGGGUCAUCGGAAACUGGGAGACUUGAGUGCAGAAGAGGAGAGUGGAAUUCCAUGUGUAGCGGUGAAAUGCGUAGAUAUAUGGAGGAACACCAGUGGCGAAGGCGGCUCUCUGGUCUGUAACUGACGCUGAGGCUCGAAAGCGUGGGGAGCAAACAGGAUUAGAUACCCUGGUAGUCCACGCCGUAAACGAUGAGUGCUAAGUGUUGGAGGGUUUCCGCCCUUCAGUGCUGCAGCAAACGCAUUAAGCACUCCGCCUGGGGAGUACGACCGCAAGGUUGAAACUUAAAGGAAUUGACGGGG
RNAcentral lists this ribosomal RNA (397 nucleotides) under uncultured bacterium. Its description in RNAcentral is "partial 16S ribosomal RNA". It matches the Rfam family "Bacterial small subunit ribosomal RNA", at positions 523 to 918 of the family's 1533-position model. The record is from RNAcentral.